Molecule: ribosomal RNA, 484 nt
Filed under: uncultured bacterium
Lineage: Bacteria
Description: partial 16S ribosomal RNA
Rfam family: Bacterial small subunit ribosomal RNA
Source: RNAcentral
AGUGAACGCUGGCGGCGUGCUUAACACAUGCAAGUCGAACGAGAACGGAUUAUAGCUUGCUAUAAUUGUCAGCUAAGUGGCGCACGGGUGAAUAAUGUAUAGGUAAUAUGCCUCUUACUAAGGGAUAACAAAUGGAAACGUUUGCUAAUACCUUAUACUCCUUAUUAACAGAAGUUAAUAAGGGAAUGAUUUGUUGGUAAGAGAUUUGCCUGUAUUGUAUCAGUUAGUUGGUGGGGUAAUGGCUUACCAAGACUAUGACACAUAACUGGUUUGAGAGGAUGAUCAGUCACACUGGAACUGAGACACGGUCCAGACUCCUACGGGAGGCAGCAGUGGGGAAUAUUGCACAAUGGACGAAAGUCUGAUGCAGCAACGCCGCGUGGAGGAUGACACAUUUCGGUGCGUAAACUCCUUUUAUAUGAGAAGAUAAUGACGGUAUUAUAUGAAUAAGCACCGGCUAACUCCGUGCCAGCCGCCGCCGUAA